This 98-nucleotide microRNA precursor is filed under the name Loxodonta africana (African savanna elephant). RNAcentral describes it as "mir-544 microRNA precursor family". It matches the Rfam family "mir-544 microRNA precursor family". Lineage: Eukaryota; Metazoa; Chordata; Mammalia; Proboscidea; Elephantidae. The record is from Rfam by way of RNAcentral.
AUCAUCUGGGCAUCUUGUUAAAAAGUAGAUUCUGAUUCAGUAAGUCUAGGGUGGGGCCUAAGAUUCUGCAUUUUUAACAAGCUCCCCAGUGGUCAUGC